RNAcentral lists this long non-coding RNA (5105 nucleotides) under Pongo abelii (Sumatran orangutan). RNAcentral's name for it is "lincRNA". The record is from RNAcentral. Lineage: Eukaryota; Metazoa; Chordata; Mammalia; Primates; Hominidae.
UUAAAUAUAUUUUACAGAUAAGGAAAUUGAGGUUCAUAGAGAUAAAGAAACAAACACGGGGGAGUUUGGGAAUUAUUUCCUUCUUUCCUUCCUUCCUUCCUUCCUUCCUUCCUUCCUUCCUUCCUUCCCUCCCUCCCUUCCUUCCUCCCUUCCUUUCCUCCUCCCUUCCCUCCUCCCUCCUCCCUCCCUCCUUCCUCCUCCUUCCCUCCCUCCUUCCUCUCCUUCCCUCCCUCCUUCCUCCUCCUUCCUUCCUCCCUCCUUCCUUCUUCCUUCCUUCUUCCUUCUUUCCUUCCUUCCUUCCUUCCUUUCUUUCCCUCCUUGGAAAAUAUCUUUCAGGGCUCUAUUUUCUCUUGAUUGGAAAAUGCCCAGCACCCAAACACACCUCCUCCUUGGCAUCCCGUCAUUUUUCUUUUAAAAUUUCUUAGCUGUGAUGAAUCUGAUGCAGCCAGCCUCAUGGCUUCUGGCUUCUCUCCUUUCAGUCUGACCCAACAGUAGCUACCAGAGAGGUCUCCCUAAAAGACAAAAUGACCAAGCCUUUCCCCUGCUUAGAACCUGCCCUGGCUUCCCAUUCCUUUUACAGUAAAGUGCAAACUGCACACCGUGAUCCAGGCCCUGCUGACUCACCUGCUGAGAAUCCCCUCAUUCUUCAGACACUUGGGUUAGUUCUUUAGGGCGUCAUUCCACAGGUCGCUUUAUGCUCCUUACAAUAUAGUAUCCCUUUGCCCCGACACCCUUCUGGCUCUUGACAGCCUGAUGGACUUCUAGUCUUUUUCCACCACUGCUCUCAAAUACGCAGAGCUGCUUCUAGUCAUAUACCUGUAUGUGAUGGAGAGAAGCAGAAAGAGAGGUAGGGGUAGAAAGAAUGGGAGGGAGAGAGGGAGGGAGACAGAGAAGAGAGGAUAGGAGGGAGAAAGGAAGGUAGGAAGACAAAGGGGUGAAGAGAAAGACAGAAGAGGGGAGAGGAGGAGAGGGGAGGGGAUAAGAGGGAUAAAGAAAGAGAGGAAGAGAGACAAGCAGAGAGAGAUGGGAAGGCUGAGAGAGAGAGUAAGGGAAGAGAGGGGAGGGGAGGGGAAAAGAAAGAAGGGAAGGAGAGAGGAGACAGAUGGGGAGGAAGAGAGGAAAAUAGAAGGAGAUAUCUAAAAUGAUAUUUGCCCCCCCAAAUGUUAAGUGAUUAUCCUUGGGGGGAAGAACUUUGGAAGUUACACUUUCAAUUUUGUUUUUUAAAAUUGUUUGUAUUUUUAGUCCACUUACAGAUACACUUUUUCCAAACAGCAUACAACGACAAGAAAGUAACAUUCAAAUAUUACCAGAUCACUUCAGCUGUGAAUUCUUUUCAGGACCCCCCUUUUUUCUUCCAGAAUUAUGCACAUCUUCCCUUCCGCCCACCCGCCCCAAAUGGAGGGGUGUAGCUGGCCACCUGGGAGUUGUUGAAAGACAGGAAGAUCAGUGCCUUAUCUUCCUGGUCUCCAGUGUCCUGCACUGAACCCGGCCAGGACAGGCUGGGCCUUGUAAAUACUGGUUUAAUGACGAGAGGCAGGAAACUCAUUAUAACACCAUGCAUUGUCCAGGUUAAAUAAUGGAAAGGAUUAUUACAGCAAUGAUGCUGCAAUAUACUCUCAAUUAGCCAUGACAAUGAGGAGCAUGGGGACAGCUCAUGCCACCAAGCUGGGGAUCAUCAAAAGGCAAUUUUCCCUUCUGUGGACCACCAUGCCAUCUUUGUGUUUUAGUUACUGGUGAUUCCCUAUGCAUACACCAUCCCCCACGCCCACAUACAUACACCUUUUUUCUUUUUCUUUUUAGGGCAGGGGCACUGACUCAAAUCUCAAUCAUAUCUGGUUGGAGUUGAUCAUGAAACCAGCUAGUUUCUUAACACAGAUGAUGAACCACCAGUGAGCAGCUGUUCUCAAAGCGUGGACCCCAUAUUUGCCACCUCGGCAUUGUUGCCUGAGAACUUGUUAGAAAGGCACAUUUUGAGGUCCACUUCUGAAUCAGAAUCUUUAGGUUGGUGUUCAGAAAUCUACACUCCCACAAGUCUUUCAGGCGAUUCUGAUGCAUGCUCAAGCUUAAGGAUCAUUGGCCCGAAAGGGGACUCAGUUGCUUGGGUUCCAUUUCUGGCUGUGCUGCUUGUUGGCUGUCCCAUCUCUGGCAAGUCCCCUCACCUCUUCAUGUCUCUGCGUCCUCAUCUGUAAUAUAGGCACAUCCACAGUGCCCAUCUCAUGGGGUGUGUCAGGAUUGGCGAAGAGCAGUCAAAUAGCACUCACACUUAGUCCCAGCAGAUGCUACCUGGUACCAUAUUUCAUGGAGUAGAAGCUGCCUUUGAUCAUCAGACUUAUCCAGAAUUCACAUAGUAAAUGUAGGGCAUAAGUUUGCCUUAAAACAGUAUUUCUCAAACUUCAGUGUACACACAAAUCACCUGGGAAUGUUGUUAAAAGGUAGACUCUGAUUCAGCAGGGCUGAGGCCACAGACACUGCAUUCUUAGCAAGCUCUCAUGUGGGAGGAUGCUGCUGGUCCCUGGAUCACACUUUUGUUGUAUGGAUUGGAUCCAGCACCAGCACCUUUGUGUACGGAUUGGAUCUCACAGUGGGCUCACAUGAUGUGCUGGCAAUGGUCAUGGACUGGUCCUGGGAGAGGGUGGUGGAACAGGAUGUGGUUCAUUUUGCUCAUUCCUCUCUGGCCAAAGGACAGCAAGCAUUGGCAUAAGAACUGGAGACAUGGUUUGAGCUCCUUGUAAGCCCACUCACUGGCCUAAAGGAAGCCCUUUGAUCUCAGCAUCCUCAUUUGCCAAAUAGACCACCCAAUGCCCACCAAGUCCAUUCUAAGGGCAAGUGGGGAAAAUCAAAUACCCAUGUUCUCAGUGAGUGAAUUAACGACACAUCUUUCCUUGGGACCAUGGUUUUUCCAGAGUUUAAAAAUAAUGAAAUGAUGUGGAUAUUUAAACGCAUCAGGACAAGGCAUUGCUGGUGAAGUUGGCUAAUUAUUACAUUACUAUAUGAUCAUCAUCAGUGUGAGUGAUAAGCCCUGCACUGUGAUUCUCUUUUGAGCACCAGCCCUGGGAAUAACCAGUCCUUACAAUCACCCUGGAAUUCUGACAGUUCCAGGGGACACCUGUCAGGCCACCCUCCUGGGUGGGCUUAGCAUACUGAGGGCCAUGCAGAGGGAGCCCCGGUUUUAUCCUCAAAGCCUCCUUACUAUAACCAUCAUCUUUGCAGCCACUCUCUGAUUUCAAGGCACUGCUCACUUCCAAGGGGACAUGACAGGGCUGGAGAGAGAAGGGGUCAUACACCGCUCAUUUCCAGAAUGAACAAAGAACACUUAUGAAGGAGAGAAAAAAUGCCUCUUGACCACCUCCAAUAUGUGUGUGCACAAAUACACACACAAACACACACAUACACACAUGCGUGCACAUGCACAUACAUACAUGUGCACACAUGGGCAUACACACACACACACACACAGAGGCUGCCCCAGCCUGCAUGUCACCAUCAAUCAGCGGCUUCCCACUUGCUGUUUGCAGGCAGAGUUCCCUACAGAUGUGCUCGGGGGGCUGGGAGAAGGAGAAGAAGGUGGAGCUGGGGCUAGGGAGGGAGGGAGGCAGAGAUGUCCUCAAAGAGUUAAAACCUUGCCUCACCAGACUGCGAAUCCUCCUCGACUCUCCCCCACCUCCAUCCCCCUCAAUCCAGCCAAACAACAGCUUGACAUUUUCCAUCCUUCACGAAAAAGACAAAGACGGGAAGAUAUUCCCAUGAUCCCUUUCUGCAUGCCUAACCGUGAGCUCAGGUGCUGUAGCGUUUGCCCCGCGCCGGCCCCAUCAACAUGAAGGGCGAACUCAUCCUUUCUGCAUCUUUUUCUCGCCACUGCUUGAUUAAUUGGCUGACUACUACGCCGGCGGAAUACCUAAUGCCUUUCCUUCCCCUAUUCUUCCUUCACAGUUUUUUUUUCCUCCUUUGCUCCAUUUACAUAUACUUUAUAUUCCAUAAUUUUCACCCAAAAAGAAAAAAAAAAAAAAGGGCCCAUCUCAGUAAUUUGAUGUAAUGACGGCAUGUCACCAAAAAGAGGAAUUAGAAAAAUCUGUAGGUAUUUAAUUUAUUCUUGUUUUUUUUUUUUUUUUUUUUUUUUUUUUGAAGUAGAGCUCUCUGAGAAAAGCAUUAAUAUUCAUGGGCAAGAGAAAAAAGUAUACUCAAUAGGAAAAUUCCAGAUUUUUUAGGGGUGGGGAGGCAGCUAAAUUCAAUGCAUUUUUAAGCACCAUUAUUUAACUAAUAGUGCCUGAGUCCCUCUGGCCCUAGUUCCUCCCUUUCAAUGAAAAUAAGUGGGUUUUAGUUUGCCUUCAAGGGUUGUGUCUGUUGCGCUCACACCCAUGCUGUUGAAGCAGGAAAGCUGGGUUCUGUGUUUUCCUCCCCUCCUGGGAGGACUCAAAUGAAGAAGAAAAACAUAAAUAAAGGCCUUUCAGAGUCCCAGGGCUGGAGUUUUGGUUCUCCUUCAGCCUCCCCUGUUGGCUGUCAUAGUUUUCUGAUGGCUGUACAGACAGAACAAUUUCCUUGAGGUUUUCUGCUAGACCACCCCCUUCCCGUUAACUUGGGUUUGGGUUUUGUGCUAUUAAUUAACUACUUACUUAUCAAAGUAAGUGUUGAGUUAUACCAUAAUCAUGAUCGUUACCAAUGAAGCAGGAAAUAAAAUAACGAAGCAUCAGACAGAUGCCAUAAAUGUGAGACCUGAGACCCAGAAUGGGAGCAGUCUUUCUCUCUCCAAGGCAGGUCUUUCCAAAGGGUCCCAGGGUGUGUGGUUCUCCUAGUAACAGUGAUAAGUUUGAGGCAUCUGAGUAUUUGACUCAGUCUAGUAGGAAGAUGAGUUCUCAGCCAUGGGGACCUAAAUGCUCACCUUCAUCUUAAUCAGUGGGAUCGGAAACAUGUAUGAGUUUAUGGGCCCCGAGUCUAAAUCAUUUGCCAAUUGUGAUAAUAAAAAUUAUUAUUAGCAUAAUGAUUAUAAUAAGCAACUCUAUGUACUAUUAUUUUUUCUUUAUUUUUAAAUGGGGUUAUAACUUACAGUAAGCUGCACGAAUCUUACGUGCAGCUUGAUGAAUAUUUUACCCAUGUUUGUACUUUACCCA